UGGAGGCGCGUGCUGGUGGGCCCAUGGCUUGGAGGCUGGAGAUCUUCUGUCACGUGUCCUGGUAGAGAGCUGCGAACUUCCACCUGCAGGCAGGCUGCCUUCCCGCGAUGGCCUUGGCCUCCCUGGCUGACGCGUGGGCGCGCUGGAGCCUUUGCUGUGUUAAUCUUGGCACUGCCGCGGGCUGCGCUCAAGUUAACUGGGGUGCAGAGCCACGGGGGAUUGGAAGAGCUGCAGUGGGAAGUGCCAAAGGCACUACAAACAGGAUGGAGGUGUCAGCAGGGGCGAGCGUUGGUUUUGGCAGCCUUUCUGCGAGCCAUCGGCGUCCGCUUGAUUAGCAUGGAGCUCGCAAAAGUGCUGAGGAGUUGCGAAAGGCUUGCGGGUUCCCAGGCGCUGCCUGGAGAGGGGACGGAGGGCAGCGGAGGGAGCACGCGGCAGCUACGGAUGCGUGCGAUGGGCAGAGCGUGUCGGGAGGUGUCAGCCUUCACCAGCGCAAGUGUGGGAACUGCAGCCUCUGCGCGAGAGCAAAAAGACUUUCUUUUUUUUUUUUUCCUUAAUGUAAGAAGACUUCUCUUAGGCAAGGAGGUGUUUCUGUUGCUGCAGAGCUGCUCAGGCACCCCGGCUGUGCGCUGCCGUUCCCACAGGGAUCUCUGAGCAUCUGUGAGCAGUGCGGAGAGUCGGGAUGAGUGGGGAAGAGUUAAUGGAGUGACGGAUGCGGUCUUGCAGCUGUCGUUCCUCCCCCUGCCUCCCACCCCAUCCUCGGCAGUGCCGGUUUGAAGCCCGAGCUCGCAAGCCUGGCAGAAGCUGUUGCUCUGGGGGUUGUGACUAUUUACCGUGUUCCCUGGCAGCCUGGGGCGAGUUGGCGAGUGCUGGGUGGAAGUUGCCUCUCAGCAGCCCCUGGGGCCUUGGCCUGUCCCAGGAGAUCCUCUCUGUGCCCUGAGAAGCCCCAAAACAGCGCUGUGGUGGCCGGUGCUGGUGCCCAGCCUGCUGGAGGUCUCACCAGGACAAGCAGCACUGCAGAUUUAGUCAGAGCGCUUAGGAAAGUUGUGGUGCUAUCCUUUGCGCUUAUGAUCUGGGCCAUAUAUUUUUAGUAAAUGGUCUGCUUAGGAAUAAUGCUAGAGCUGAGAUGGUCGCAUCUCCCCUAGGAGGAAGCUGGGAGACUUCUGGCUGCAGUGUUUCUUCUCCUGCUCUUGCCCGCUGAAGACUAACUGUACCUGUUGGCAUGAAAGACGGGGUAUGUGGGUGACCCUUCCUUCUGCGGUGAAUGGGUACAAGGACGAGGAUCCAUUGGUAGGGUUUGCCUUAGCCGCAUGUCUUGCUAAGGCUCAGGGUGUGAUGCUCUGGCCUUUGCAAUCCUCGCUGAAACAUCCGUAGGGAAGCUGGAGUCAGCUGAAUGUCCCAGAAGGGUUGAGAAGAGCUUUGAUUUCUUGCUUGGGGCACCCAGGGGUUACUCCCCCUUGGCUCUGGCUGUUGCUGGCCCUCCUGACUUGCCCCCUCGAGGAACGCCUGGGUCUCCGGGAAUGUGGGGAGAUUUUUUCCCGCAGGUGCUGUGUAUUUUUGAUGUGCUGGGAGGCCACAGUGAUCUGCAUUUUCCAACAGCUGUGCUGGGCAUGGUGGCACUGGCAGGGACACUGCUGCUGUAUUUUUUUUUAAC
Apteryx owenii (little spotted kiwi) is the source of this 1651-nucleotide long non-coding RNA. Lineage: Eukaryota; Metazoa; Chordata; Aves; Apterygiformes; Apterygidae. The record is from Ensembl.